RNAcentral lists this ribosomal RNA (254 nucleotides) under uncultured bacterium. RNAcentral's name for it is "partial 16S ribosomal RNA". It matches the Rfam family "Bacterial small subunit ribosomal RNA", at positions 524 to 776 of the family's 1533-position model. The record is from RNAcentral.
UACGUAGGGUGCAAGCGUUAAUCGGAAUUACUGGGCGUAAAGCGUGCGCAGGCGGUCUGUUAAGACCGAUGUGAAAUCCCCGGGCUUAACCUGGGAACUGCAUUGGUGACUGGCAGGCUUUGAGUGUGGCAGAGGGAGGUAGAAUUCCACGUGUAGCAGUGAAAUGCGUAGAGAUGUGGAGGAAUACCAAUGGCGAAGGCAGCCCCCUGGGAUAAUAUUGACGCUCAUGCACGAAAGCGUGGGGAGCAAACAGG